GUCGGGGUUUCGUACGUAGCAGAG
Molecule: non-coding RNA, 24 nt
Filed under: Gallus gallus (chicken)
Lineage: Eukaryota; Metazoa; Chordata; Aves; Galliformes; Phasianidae
Also listed under: 5 other names
Source: RNAcentral